This 253-nucleotide ribosomal RNA is filed under the name uncultured bacterium. Its description in RNAcentral is "partial 16S ribosomal RNA". It matches the Rfam family "Bacterial small subunit ribosomal RNA", at positions 524 to 776 of the family's 1533-position model. The record is from RNAcentral.
UACGUAGGGGGCAAGCGUUGUUCGGAAUUACUGGGCGUAAAGGGCUCGUAGGCGGCCAACUAAGUCAGACGUGAAAUCCCUCGGCUUAACCGGGGAACUGCGUCUGAUACUGGAUGGCUUGAGUUUGGGAGAGGGAUGCGGAAUUCCAGGUGUAGCGGUGAAAUGCGUAGAUAUCAGGAGGAACACCGGUGGCGAAGGCGGGUCUCUGGGCCGAUACUGACGCUGAGGAGCGAAAGCGUGGGGAGCGAACAGG